This 253-nucleotide ribosomal RNA is filed under the name uncultured bacterium. RNAcentral describes it as "partial 16S ribosomal RNA". It matches the Rfam family "Bacterial small subunit ribosomal RNA", at positions 524 to 776 of the family's 1533-position model. The record is from RNAcentral.
UACGGAGGGUGCAAGCGUUAUCCGGAUUUACUGGGCUUAAAGGGUGCGCAGGCGGAUAUGUAAGUCAGUGGUGAAAUCUCUGGGCUUAACCCGGAAAUUGCCAUUGAUACUAUAUAUCUUGAAUGCUGUGGAGGUAAGCGGAAUAUGUCAUGUAGCGGUGAAAUGCUUAGAUAUGACAUAGAACACCUAUUGCGAAGGCAGCUUACUACGCAGAUAUUGACGCUCAUGCACGAAAGCGUGGGGAUCAAACAGG